This 497-nucleotide ribosomal RNA is filed under the name uncultured bacterium. RNAcentral describes it as "partial 16S ribosomal RNA". It matches the Rfam family "Bacterial small subunit ribosomal RNA", at positions 28 to 507 of the family's 1533-position model. The record is from RNAcentral.
GAUGAACGCUGGCGGCGUGCCUAACACAUGCAAGUCGAACGGAAGGGCCCGGCGUUUGCGGGUCUCUCGUUAGCGGAGGGCGGGAGUAUCACACGUGUAUCCCCCCCCUAUCUUAGGGGUAUCUCCAGGAAACUGGGGCGAUAACCGGAUAGAAUCUCUUGCUCCGUGGGGGGGAUUGGAAAGAGACGGCGUUGGUGGCUGGUCUAGCUGCAUCCGAGCUGCAUUGGCGAGUUGGUAAGGUAACGGCUUACGAAGGCAACGAGGCAUAGCCGACGUGAGAGGGUGAGCGGCCACACUGGAACUGAGACACGGUCCAGACUACUACGGGAGGCAGCAGUAGGGAAGCUUCCGCAAUGGGCGAAAGCCUGACGGAGCAACGCCGCGUGAGGGAUGAAGGUCUUCGGAUCGUAAAACUCUGUUAUUAGGGAAGAACAUAUGUGUAAGUAACUGUGCACAUCGUGACGGUACCUAAUCAGAAAGCCACGGCUAACUACGUG